CCUACGGGGGGCUGCAGUGGGGAAUAUUGGACAAUGGGGGCAACCCUGAUCCAGCCAUGCCGCGUGUGUGAAGAAGGCCCUCGGGUUGUAAAGCACUUUCAGUGAGGAAGAACGCCUGGUGGUUAAUACCCAUCAGGAAAGACAUCACUCACAGAAGAAGCACCGGCUAACUCCGUGCCAGCAGCCGCGGUAAUACGGAGGGUGCGAGCGUUAAUCGGAAUUACUGGGCGUAAAGCGCGCGUAGGUGGCUUGAUAAGCCGGUUGUGAAAGCCCCGGGCUCAACCUGGGAACGGCAUCCGGAACUGUCAAGCUAGAGUGCAGGAGAGGAAGGUAGAAUUCCCGGUGUAGCGGUGAAAUGCGUAGAGAUCGGGAGGAAUACCAGUGGCGAAGGCGGCCUUCUGGCCUGACACUGACACUGAGGUGCGAAAGCGUGGGUAGCAAACAGGAUUAGAUACCCCGGUAGUC
This 465-nucleotide ribosomal RNA is filed under the name Vreelandella stevensii. Its description in RNAcentral is "partial 16S ribosomal RNA". It matches the Rfam family "Bacterial small subunit ribosomal RNA", at positions 338 to 795 of the family's 1533-position model. Lineage: Bacteria; Pseudomonadati; Pseudomonadota; Gammaproteobacteria; Oceanospirillales; Halomonadaceae. The record is from RNAcentral.